Transfer RNA from Trametes pubescens, 96 nucleotides. It matches the Rfam family "tRNA". From Rfam's summary of the family: Transfer RNA (tRNA) molecules are approximately 80 nucleotides in length. Their secondary structure includes four short double-helical elements and three loops (D, anti-codon, and T loops). Further hydrogen bonds mediate the characteristic L-shaped molecular structure. tRNAs have two regions of fundamental functional importance: the anti-codon, which is responsible for specific mRNA codon recognition, and the 3' end, to which the tRNAs corresponding amino acid is attached (by aminoacyl-tRNA synthetases). tRNAs cope with the degeneracy of the genetic code in two manners: having more than one tRNA (with a specific anti-codon) for a particular amino acid; and 'wobble' base-pairing, i.e. permitting non-standard base-pairing at the 3rd anti-codon position. The record is from Rfam. Lineage: Eukaryota; Fungi; Basidiomycota; Agaricomycetes; Polyporales; Polyporaceae.
GGUGGCGUGGCCGAGUUGGUCUAAGGCGUCGGAUUUAAGUAUUUCUUGAUUCCCGAUGGGAGUAAUCCCGCGCGAGUUCGAACCUCGCCGCCACCA